CCCUUAGAUGUUCUGGGCCGCACGCGUGCUACACUGAUGCAUUCAACGAGUCUAAAACCUGGUCUGAUAGGGCUGGGUAAUCUUUUGAAAGUGCAUCGUGAUUGGGAUAGAUGAUUGCAAUUCUUCAUCUUUAACGAGGAAUGCCUAGUAAACGCAAGUCAUCAGCUUGCAUUGAUUACGUCCCUGCCCUUUGUACACACCGCCCGUCGCUCCUACCGAUUGAAUGAUCCGAUGAAUACCAUGGAUUGAGAGUACGAAUAGGUUCGCUUAUUUCUGCUGCUCGAGAAGUGGAGUAAAUCUUAUCAUUUAGAGGAAGGAGAAGUCGUAACA
Molecule: ribosomal RNA, 330 nt
Filed under: uncultured eukaryote
Lineage: Eukaryota
Description: partial 18S ribosomal RNA
Rfam family: Eukaryotic small subunit ribosomal RNA
Source: RNAcentral